This 1370-nucleotide ribosomal RNA is filed under the name metagenome. Its description in RNAcentral is "bacterial SSU rRNA". It matches the Rfam family "Bacterial small subunit ribosomal RNA", at positions 26 to 1399 of the family's 1533-position model. The record is from RNAcentral.
AGAUUGAACGCUGGCGGCAUGCCUUACACAUGCAAGUCGAACGGUAACGCGGGGCGACCUGGCGACGAGUGGCGAACGGGUGAGUAAUACAUCGGAACGUGCCCAGUAGUGGGGGAUAGCCCGGCGAAAGCCGGAUUAAUACCGCAUACGACCUACGGAUGAAAGCGGGGGAUCGCAAGACCUCGCGCUAUUGGAGCGGCCGAUGUCAGAUUAGCUAGUUGGUGGGGUAAAAGCCUACCAAGGCGACGAUCUGUAGCUGGUCUGAGAGGACGACCAGCCACACUGGGACUGAGACACGGCCCAGACUCCUACGGGAGGCAGCAGUGGGGAAUUUUGGACAAUGGGGGCAACCCUGAUCCAGCCAUGCCGCGUGCGGGAAGAAGGCCUUCGGGUUGUAAACCGCUUUUGUCAGGGAAGAAACGGUCUGCGCUAAUACCGCGGACUAAUGACGGUACCUGAAGAAUAAGCACCGGCUAACUACGUGCCAGCAGCCGCGGUAAUACGUAGGGUGCAAGCGUUAAUCGGAAUUACUGGGCGUAGAGCGUGCGCAGGCGGCUUUGCAAGACAGAUGUGAAAUCCCCGGGCUCAACCUGGGAACUGCAUUUGUGACUGCAUGGCUGGAGUGCGGCAGAGGGGGAUGGAAUUCCGCGUGUAGCAGUGAAAUGCGUAGAUAUGCGGAGGAACACCGAUGGCGAAGGCAAUCCCCUGGGCCUGCACUGACGCUCAUGCACGAAAGCGUGGGGAGCAAACAGGACUAGAUACCCUGGUAGUCCACGCCCUAAACGAUGUCAACUGGUUGUUGGACGGCUUGCUGUUCAGUAACGAAGCUAACGCGUGAAGUUGACCGCCUGGGGAGUACGGCCGCAAGGUUGAAACUCUAAGGAAUUGACGGGGACCCGCACAAGCGGUGGAUGAUGUGGUUUAAUUCGAUGCAACGCGAAAAACCUUACCUACCCUUGACAUGUCUAGAAGUUUCCAGAGAUGGAUUCGUGCUCGAAAGAGAACUAGAACACAGGUGCUGCAUGGCCGUCGUCAGCUCGUGUCGUGAGAUGUUGGGUUAAGUCCCGCAACGAGCGCAACCCUUAUCAUUAGUUGCUACGCAAGGGCACUCUAAUGAGACUGCCGGUGACAAACCGGAGGAAGGUGGGGAUGACGUCAGGUCAUCAUGGCCCUUAUGGGUAGGGCUACACACGUCAUACAAUGGCCGGUACAGAGGGCUGCCAACCCGCGAGGGGGAGCUAAUCUCAGAAAACCGGUCGUAGUCCGGAUCGCAGUCUGCAACUCGACUGCGUGAAGUCGGAAUCGCUAGUAAUCGCGGAUCAGCUUGCCGCGGUGAAUACGUUCCCGGGUCUUGUACACACCGCCCGUUG